This 253-nucleotide ribosomal RNA is filed under the name uncultured bacterium. RNAcentral describes it as "partial 16S ribosomal RNA". It matches the Rfam family "Bacterial small subunit ribosomal RNA", at positions 524 to 776 of the family's 1533-position model. The record is from RNAcentral.
UACGGAGGGGGCGAGCGUUAUUCGGAUUUAUUGGGCGUAAAGGGCGCGUAGGCGGCUUUAUGGGUCAAAGGUGAAAUCCCUCGGCUCAACUGAGGAACUGCCUUUGAAACUGUCUGGCUUGAGGCCGGGAGAGGGUAGCGGAAUUCCCAGUGUAGCGGUGAAAUGCGUAGAUACUGGGAGGAACACCGGUGGCGAAGGCGGCUACCUGGACCGGUUCUGACGCUGAUGCGCGAAAGCGUGGGUAGCAAACAGG